Molecule: ribosomal RNA, 1809 nt
Filed under: Typhlocaris ayyaloni
Lineage: Eukaryota; Metazoa; Arthropoda; Malacostraca; Decapoda; Typhlocarididae
Description: eukaryotic LSU rRNA
Rfam family: Eukaryotic large subunit ribosomal RNA
Source: RNAcentral
AGUAAGGGCGACUGAAAGGGGAUGAGCCCAGCGCAUAACCUUGCGGUCCGGUGUUGSCCGUCGAGGGGUGUUGCGUAUCGGUUGAUCCGUCCCAGCUGGCUACCCACUGCCUAAGUGAUUGCUUGAAAGCAUCCCCAUGGAGGGUGGAAGGCCCGUGUGGCAGUGCCCGAGAGGGUUUAGGUGGCUUGUUGGAGGGAUUUUAACCGUUGAGUCGGGUUGCUUAGUACUGCAGCCCUAAGAUAGGUGGUAAACUCCAUCUAAGGCUAAAUACUACCACGAGACUGAUAGAUGACAAGUACCGUGAGGGAAAGCUGAAAAGAACUUUGAAGAGAGAGUUCAAAAGGACGUGAAACCACUGGGAGGUAAACGGGUGGACCUGACAAGGUCGAAGGGCGGGAUUCCGCUCGUCGGUGGCCAGCCUUUGGGGAGUUGCAGAGGACGCGUCCUUUAUAAGCGGUCGCGCUGCUCCUCCUUGUGGUGUGGCAUGCCGGCGGGCUUACUUCCUGCUGAGUAGCAAUGCCGUGUCGCGUUGGUUUGACCCCAGGGGCUGUGUCGGAUUGGUAACCUGGACUAGGGUGCCAGGUGAAGACCGGCUGCAGUUGUGAUGGGUCUAGCCGAUGCUUUAUGCAGGGAGCCUGCUUAGGCAGGCUCUCGCGGCAUCUAAUGUCGGUCAUCCACCUGACCCGUCUUGAAAGAAGCACGGACCAAGGAGUCUAACAUGUGCGCGAGUCUAAGGGUUUUAAGAACCUGGAGGCGAAAUGAAAGUGAGCUGGCAGAGCAGGCCGAUCCCCGGCCGGUGACUGAGGCGGAUGGUCGGGCAGUGACUCGCGUGCGGCCACUGUUCCGGACGCCGUCGUGGUACCGGUGCUCCUCCGUGAGGGGGAGAUGCUAGAGUGCAGGGGCGCAGGCCAAGGACUUGCCUUAGGGUGAUGUUGGAGGGCUUGCGGCACGCUUCCUAAGGCCCUCUGACUUUGGCCGGCAAGUACCUGAGAGCGCACUGGUUGGGACCCGAAAGAUGGUGAACUAUGCCUGGCGAGGACGAAGCCAGAGGAAACUCUGGUGGAGGUCCGAAGCAGUUCUGACGUGCAAAUCGAUUGUCAGAGCUGGGUAUAGGGGCGAAAGACUAAUCGAACCAUCUAGUAGCUGGUUCCCUCCGAAGUUUCCCUCAGGAUAGCUGGCAUUCGGAGGUUAAGUUUCAUCUGGUAAAGCCAAUGAUUAGAGGUCUUGGGGGUGCAAUGCCCUCAACCUAUUCUCAAACUUUAAAUGGGUGAGAUGUAGAGCUUGCUUAAUUAGUGAAGCUGUAUUGAUGAGAAUUAGAAUGCUUAGUGGGCCACUUUUGGUAAGCAGAACUGGCGCUGUGGGAUGAACCAAACGUACGAGUUAAGGGGCCUAAAUGAAUGCUAAUUUUGACACUCUGAAAAGGUGUUGGUUGCUAUAGACAGCAGGGCGGUGGCCAUGGAAGUUGGAAUCCGCUAAGGAGUGGUGUAACAACUCACCUGCCGAAGCAACUAGCCCUUAAAAUGGUAUGGCGCUGAAGCAUUCUCCCGAUACUCGGCCGCCGGGGCAUUAGAUGGCCAUUAAGUUGGUGUUUUAGCCCUGGUGAGUAGGAGGGUCGCAGCGGUGUGCGUCGAAGGGAUCCGGUGUAGGCCGGCCUGGAGCCGCCGCUGGCGCAGAUCUUGGUGGUAGUAGCAAAUAAUCAAGAGAGAACCUCGUUGACUGAUGUGGGGAAGGGUUCCAUGUCAACAUCAGUUGAACAUGGGUGAGUCAGGCCUAWGCCCAAGGACAGAUGUCCUGCAUGCCACGUGUUCC